RNAcentral lists this ribosomal RNA (208 nucleotides) under uncultured bacterium. RNAcentral's name for it is "partial 16S ribosomal RNA". It matches the Rfam family "Bacterial small subunit ribosomal RNA", at positions 1293 to 1500 of the family's 1533-position model. The record is from RNAcentral.
UCGGACUGUAGUCUGCAACCCGACUACACGAAGCUGGAAUCGCUAGUAAUCGCGAAUCAGAAUGUCGCGGUGAAUACGUUCCCGGGUCUUGUACACACCGCCCGUCACACCAUGGGAGUUGGUAAUGCCCGAAGUCAGUGACCCAACCGCAAGGAGGGAGCUGCCGAAGGCAGGACUGAUAACUGGGGUGAAGUCGUAACAAGGUAGC